UGGAAGGUGGCUCAGUGGUAGAGUGCUUGCCUUGCAUGCAUGAUGUCCUGUGUUCAAUUCCUGUCCAC
RNAcentral lists this transfer RNA (68 nucleotides) under Dipodomys ordii (Ord's kangaroo rat). It matches the Rfam family "tRNA". From Rfam's summary of the family: Transfer RNA (tRNA) molecules are approximately 80 nucleotides in length. Their secondary structure includes four short double-helical elements and three loops (D, anti-codon, and T loops). The record is from Rfam by way of RNAcentral. Lineage: Eukaryota; Metazoa; Chordata; Mammalia; Rodentia; Heteromyidae.